GAUGAACGCUAGCGGCAGGCCUAAUACAUGCAGGUCGGACGGGAUUCAGGAGCUUGCUUCUGAUGAGAGUGGCGCACGGGUGCGUAACACGUAUGUAACCUACCUUUAUCAGGGGGAUAGCCUCUCGAAAGAGAGAUUAAGCCCGCAUAAAAUCACAGCACAGCAUUGUGUAAUGAUCAAAUAUUUAUAGGAUAAAGAUGGGCAUGCGGAACAUUAGCUAGAUGGCGGGGUAACGGCCCACCAUGGCGACGAUGUUUAGGGGAUCUGAGAGGAUGGCCCCCCACACUGGGACUGAGACACGGACCAGACUCCUACGGGAGGCAGCAGUAAGGAAUAUUGGUCAAUGGGAGGAAGCCUGAACCAGCCAUGCCGCGUGCAGGAAGACGGCCCUACGGGUUGUAAACUGCUUUUAUACGGGAAUAAACCCAGAUACGUGUAUCUGGCUGAAUGUACUGUAAGAAUAAGGAUCGGCUAACUCCGUG
This 482-nucleotide ribosomal RNA is filed under the name uncultured bacterium. RNAcentral describes it as "partial 16S ribosomal RNA". It matches the Rfam family "Bacterial small subunit ribosomal RNA", at positions 28 to 507 of the family's 1533-position model. The record is from RNAcentral.